CGUUCCCCUUCGGGGGACAGAGUGACAGGUGGUGCAUGGUUGUCGUCAGCUCGUGUCGUGAGAUGUUGGGUUAAGUCCCGCAACGAGCGCAACCCUUGAUCUUAGUUGCCAGCAUUUAGUUGGGCACUCUAAGGUGACUGCCGGUGACAAACCGGAGGAAGGUGGGGAUGACGUCAAAUCAUCAUGCCCCUUAUGACCUGGGCUACACACGUGCUACAAUGGAUGGUACAAAGGGCUGCAAGACCGCGAGGUCAAGCCAAUCCCAUAAAACCAUUCUCAGUUCGGAUUGUAGGCUGCAACUCGCCUACAUGAAGCUGGAAUCGCUAGUAAUCGCGGAUCAGCAUGCCGCGGUGAAUACGUUCCCGGGCCUUGUACACACCGCCCGUCACACCACGAGAGUUUGUAACACCCGAAGUCGGUGGAGUAACCGUAAGGAGCUUAGCCGCCUCAGAGAGGUACCGUAUGUC
RNAcentral lists this ribosomal RNA (467 nucleotides) under Priestia aryabhattai. Its description in RNAcentral is "bacterial SSU rRNA". It matches the Rfam family "Bacterial small subunit ribosomal RNA", at positions 1011 to 1476 of the family's 1533-position model. Lineage: Bacteria; Bacillati; Bacillota; Bacilli; Caryophanales; Bacillaceae. The record is from RNAcentral.